Non-coding RNA from Dermacentor andersoni, 319 nucleotides. The record is from RefSeq and is a predicted model, not a curated record. NCBI's taxonomy places the organism in Eukaryota, Metazoa, Arthropoda, Arachnida, Ixodida, Ixodidae.
GGUUACCCAGCCAUAUCGAGGAGAUGUUCCGGAGGAUAUGACUGAUCUUAUGUUGGCAGGAAUUACAGGAGCGACACCAAGCACCAAGGAGCGAUUGGUGUAUGCAGCAUCCAACAACAGCUGCGGGGUGUUUUAUGUGCAGUACGCUUACGGUAUGACACGGGAGAAUGGGUGGUUUGACCUCCGUGUGAGAAACUCUUCGGUAUCAAGCAUACCUUCAAUUUGCAAAGAAUACCUUGAAAGCUUUAAACAGCCGCUGUUUCCCAUCUACAACGACACCUGCCAAAGUUUGUAAUAAAUAUCGGCAAAUCCAAGCCAC